RNAcentral lists this long non-coding RNA (421 nucleotides) under Phaseolus vulgaris (common bean). RNAcentral describes it as "long non-coding RNA (PVUL_LNC002374)". Lineage: Eukaryota; Viridiplantae; Streptophyta; Magnoliopsida; Fabales; Fabaceae. The record is from RNAcentral.
CUCCCCUCAACAGCUGGUAAUUUUCUUCGCUUCUGCCUUUGCUAUUCAUUUAAAAUCAAGAUUCAUAAUCACUUUUGCUACCUCAAAUGAGGCUGACAUAAUUUUUCUGUGCAAGAGGGAGUUUUAGGGGAGGGGAAAUAGAAAAUCUAUUUUAUGUUAUAUUAUUUGUACAGUUUACUGUUUCAUUUUUCUUAUAUCUAUUUUGAUUUUAGGUUGAGAAAUAUAAAGCAGCUAAUCAGAGAGCCAAACAAAUUCUAGAGAAGGUAUACAGACUUUUCCCUUGCCUUAUAAUUAUCUUCAUAAACUAGUGCAAGUUUUAACCAGCAAGCUUUAGGACCAUACAACCUUAUAGUAUUUGUUGUUGCAUAUUUUUGUGAACAAUGUGGCCUUUUGGGUGCUGUUUUCUCCUUAUAACUUGUAG